CGCGGCCUAUCAGCUUGUUGGUGAGGUAAUGGCUCACCAAGGCUUCGACGGGUAGCCGGCCUGAGAGGGCGACCGGCCACACUGGGACUGAGACACGGCCCAGACUCCUACGGGAGGCAGCAGUGGGGAAUAUUGCGCAAUGGGCGAAAGCCUGACGCAGCAACGCCGCGUGGGGGAUGAAGGCUUUCGGGUUGUAAACCCCUUUCAGUGAUGACGAAAAUGACGGUAAUCACAGAAGAAGCCCCGGCCAACUACGUGCCAGCAGCCGCGGUAACACGUAGGGGGCAAGCGUUGUCCGGAUUUAUUGGGCGUAAAGAGCUCGUAGGCGGUUGCGUAAGUCGGAUGUGAAAACUCAGGGCUCAACCCUGAGAUGCCAUUCGAUACUGCGCUGACUAGAGUCCGGUAGAGGAGCAUGGAAUUCCUGGUGUAGCGGUGAAAUGCGCAGAUAUCAGGAGGAACACCAGUAGCGAAGGCGGUGCUCUGGGCCGGUACUGACGCUGAGGAGCGAAAGCAUGGGUAGCAAACAGGAUUAGAUACCCUGGUAGUCCAUGCCGUAAACGUUGGGCACUAGGUGUGGGACCUACUUAACGGGUUCCGUGCCGUAGCUAACGCAUUAAGUGCCCCGCCUGGGGAGUACGG
This 639-nucleotide ribosomal RNA is filed under the name uncultured bacterium. RNAcentral describes it as "bacterial SSU rRNA". It matches the Rfam family "Bacterial small subunit ribosomal RNA", at positions 232 to 885 of the family's 1533-position model. The record is from RNAcentral.